This 433-nucleotide ribosomal RNA is filed under the name uncultured bacterium. RNAcentral's name for it is "partial 16S ribosomal RNA". It matches the Rfam family "Bacterial small subunit ribosomal RNA", at positions 29 to 507 of the family's 1533-position model. The record is from RNAcentral.
AACGAGCGCUGGCGGCAUGCCUAACACAUGCAAGUCGAACGAAACCUUCGGGUCUAGUGGCGCACGGGUGCGUAACGCGUGGGAACCUGCCCUUAGGUUCGGAAUAACUCCCCGAAAGGGGUGCUAAUACCGGAUAAUGUCUUCGGACCAAAGAUUUAUCGCCUUUGGAUGGGCCCGCGUUGGAUUAGCUAGUUGGUAGGGUAAAAGCCUACCAAGGCGACGAUCCAUAGCUGGUCUGAGAGGAUGAUCAGCCACACUGGGACUGAGACACGGCCCAGACUCCUACGGGAGGGAGCAGUGGGGAAUAUUGGACAAUGGGCGAAAGCCUGAUCCAGCAAUGCCGGGUGAGUGAUGAAGGCCUUAGGGUUGUAAAGCUCUUUUACCCGGGAUGAUAAUGACAGUACCGGGAGAAUAAGCUCCGGCUAACUCCGUG